RNAcentral lists this ribosomal RNA (534 nucleotides) under Triticum aestivum (bread wheat). RNAcentral describes it as "partial small subunit ribosomal RNA". Lineage: Eukaryota; Viridiplantae; Streptophyta; Magnoliopsida; Poales; Poaceae. The record is from RNAcentral.
AUGGACGACUACCUCAAGCUACAUCAAGUACCCUCCAAAGUUCAAGUGAAGUCCGCCACAAGUACCUUCCACGACUACGCGUUGAUUUGGUGGCUUCACUCAUCUUCGAGGAGCUUCGACAUGAGUUGGUCCAAGACGAAGAAAGCGAUGAGGCGAGAAUUUAUGCCUUCAACCUACAUGGAACAUCUUCAACGCCAAUUGGAGAACACCAUACAAGGAUCCAAGUCCCUCGACGAGUACUUCAAGAACAUGAAGGAAGCCGUGCGACGUGCCGGCGUGGACGACCCCAUUUGGAUGAAGUUCUACUUCAUGAUGGGAUUGAACAACGACAUCUCCAAGACUAUCUUCCUCGAGAACUACAAGUCCCUUGACGACAACUACUUUGGUGCUCUCAAGGCGGAGCAAGAACUCAAGAAGGCCAAGUCUACUCGACCCCGAGCUCACUUCGCAAUGACAACGCUACAAGACGGCAAGAGUGAUGAUGUGCCAUCUUCGGCCUUCAUUCAUGACGAGAGUGAUGGCGUGCCAUCUUAG